UCUAAUAUGGCAGAAUUUAUGCAAUGAAUUUAAGAUUCAUAUAUAAAGAUUACCAAUCUUUUUUUAGAA
This 69-nucleotide transfer RNA is filed under the name Macrostemum radiatum. Its description in RNAcentral is "tRNA-Leu". The record is from RNAcentral. Lineage: Eukaryota; Metazoa; Arthropoda; Insecta; Trichoptera; Hydropsychidae.